UACCAGCUCUCCGAGUGGUGUGGAUGUUUAUUGGGCCUAAAGCAUCCGUAGCUGGCUGGGCAAGUCCCCUGUUAAAUCCACCGAUUCAAUCGUUGGAGUGCGGGGGAUACUGCUCGGCUAGGGGACGGGAGAGGCCGACGGUAUUUUCGGGGUAGGGGUGAAAUCCUAUAAUCCCGGAAAGACCACCAGUGGCGAAGGCUGUCGGCUAGAACGCGCCCGACGGUGAGGGAUGAAAGCUGGGGGAGCGAACCGGAUUAGAUACCCGGGUAGUCCCAGCUGUAAACGAUGCAGGCUAGGUGUUUGGGCGGCCACGUGCCGCUCUAGUGCCGCAGGGAAGUCGUUAAGCCUGCCGCCUGGGGAGUACGGCCGCAAGGCUGAAACUUAAAGGAAUUGGCGGGGAGCACCACAAGGGGUGAAGCUUGCGGUUU
This 428-nucleotide ribosomal RNA is filed under the name uncultured archaeon. Its description in RNAcentral is "bacterial SSU rRNA". It matches the Rfam family "Archaeal small subunit ribosomal RNA", at positions 474 to 903 of the family's 1478-position model. The record is from RNAcentral.